UGAAGAAUAUUGGGCAAUGGGGGAAACCCUGACCCAGCAACGCCGCGUGAGGGAAGAAGGUUUUCGGAUUGUAAACCUCUGUCCCAUGGGACGAAACAAAUGACGGUACCAUGGGAGGAAGCCCCGGCUAACUACGUGCCAGCAGCCGCGGUAAUACGUAGGGGGCAAGCGUUGUCCGGAAUUAUUGGGCGUAAAGGGUGCGUAGGCGGCCUUUCAAGUUGGAUGUGAAAUCCCCGUGCUUAACAUGGGAAUUGCAUUCAAAACUGGAGGGCUUGAGUGUGGAAGAGGUAAGUGGAAUUCCCAGUGUAGCGGUGAAAUGCGUAGAUAUUGGGAGGAACACCAGUGGCGAAGGCGACUUACUGGGCCACAACUGACGCUGAUGCACGAAAGCGUGGGGAGCAAACAG
Molecule: ribosomal RNA, 406 nt
Filed under: uncultured bacterium
Lineage: Bacteria
Description: bacterial SSU rRNA
Rfam family: Bacterial small subunit ribosomal RNA
Source: RNAcentral